Molecule: long non-coding RNA, 1193 nt
Organism: Esox lucius (northern pike)
Lineage: Eukaryota; Metazoa; Chordata; Actinopteri; Esociformes; Esocidae
Source: Ensembl
CUUCCACAUGCUUCAUUGUACUUCACAGCCUGAAACAUAAUAUAAAACAUGUAACAUAUUGUCAACAUUGCAGAACUAGUUAUAUUUCUGUGAACAUAUUUUUCAAAUUACAACACAAUACUCACUUCUUCAGUAUUUAGGCUUUAUAUGUGGGUUAUUUAAGUAGGUCAGAGGUACAAUCAGGCUUUCUUGUGUCUCCUUCAGUAGUGGGGGUUUUAACCAAUCAAAUCAGUAAAGAAAAAAGAACACUGGUACUAGGGGAUUUUGGAGUGCAGUCUCAACACUGUGUCCCUGUUGAAGGUUGUGGGUCUGCCAGCAAGACAACCAAUAUCAAAUAAAAGCCCCUUGUCAUAGUUGCAGCGAUCUCACUGACAGCCACAAGACACAUUUGUUGGCAAUUUUCCGGGCCAAAAUCUGUGUCACCAAUAACUAGUGCUGGAGAACCAACAUUUUAAAUAUUUAUGAAAGUGCAUGGGUGUACAUAAAUUUGGCAACAUCUGUAUACUGUGUGGUAGGGUCAGAAAACGUUCACCUUUGUUUAACACUGAUGAUUCUGAAUUCAUGGAGCUUCAGCCCAGUAGGUGUCAGGCUUUUGCCUAUUGUUUUAUCACAGGACAAUCAAAACACAUCAGAAGAAAUAACUAGUUAACCAAUGUUGGCUAGGACACUUACAGUGUCAUUUGGCCCCAGAUAAUAAUUGUUACUGUCCCAUAGUUUAGUAAACGUUACUACAAACGAAUUAGUUAGCCAGCACUGGGACAUUUUCAGCAGGGGUGCGGUGUUCACCAGACGGAGCCAAGGGACGUUGUCUGUAGGUGUAGCCUACAGUAGUUUGCUGGCCUAGCUGGUUAGCAAGUUAACUUAUCAACUGUGGCCUUUGCCUUGCUGACAUAUGUGCACUUUAUGUACUCAGUUCAGCUCAGUUUACACCUGUUGCCUACUUCAAUCACCUUCUCAAAUUGGGUUUCUAUGGGAUUAAGCAGUCCUUCCUAGAAUAUUCCGAUUAUCAGGAGACAUGAAGAUCUCGUCAUUACAUACAGAUCUCAAUCACAACUCAGUCAGCUUGUGAGGGAUCAUUAAUGGAAUGUGGAAAAUUGUCUUCCAUGACGAUCCAAGAAAAUGUAACUUCCCGCUAAAGUAUCAAUAUGGUUUUAUUAUCAUUAUAGUAAAGUCCUGAGUGGUUUAGUAUCCUU